AUCCGUCGAUUUUAAAUCAUGAGGGUUAAGUCCCUUUACCCCCA
Molecule: transfer RNA, 44 nt
Filed under: Isolepis hystrix
Lineage: Eukaryota; Viridiplantae; Streptophyta; Magnoliopsida; Poales; Cyperaceae
Description: partial transfer RNA-Leu
Source: RNAcentral